GCCUAAAGCGUCCGUAGCCUGUUCUAUAAGUUUCCGGUUAAAUCCAUUAGCUCAACUAAUGGGCCGCCGAAAAUACUGUGGAACUAGGGAGUGGGAGAGGUAGACGGUAUUCGGUAGGAAGGGGUAAAAUCCUUUGAUCUAUCGAGGACCACCUGUGGCGAAGGCGGUCUACCAGAACACGUUCGACGGUGAGGGAUGAAAGCUGGGGGAGCAAACCGGAUUAGAUACCCGGGUAGUCCCAGCUGUAAACGAUGCAGACUCGGUGAUGCGCUGGCUUGUGGCCAGUGCAGUGCCGCAGGGAAGCCGUUAAGUUUGCCGCCUGGGAAGUACGUACGCAAGUAUGAAACUUAAAGGAAUUGGCGGGGGAGCACCACAAGGGGUGAAGCCUGCGGUUCAAUUGGAGUCAACGCCAGAAAUCUUACCCGAGGAGACAGCAGAAUGAAGGUCAAGCUGGAGACUUUACCAGACAAGCUGAGAAGUGGUGCAUGGCCGUCGCCAGCUCGUGCCGUGAGAUGUCCUGUUAAGUCAGGUAACGAGCGAGAUCCCUGCCUCUAGUUGCCACCAUUACUCUCAGGAGUAGUGGGGCGAAUUAGCGGGACCGCCACAGUUAAUGUGGAGGAAGGAAGAGGCCACGGCAGGUCAGUAUGCCCCGAA
Molecule: ribosomal RNA, 654 nt
Filed under: uncultured archaeon
Lineage: Archaea
Description: bacterial SSU rRNA
Rfam family: Archaeal small subunit ribosomal RNA
Source: RNAcentral